AUAGAGUUACAUUAGUUGUUUACUUUAAAGUUAAAAGUUAUUAACUUUUUGGUAAUUUAAUGUUAAAUUAAUUAACUUUAUG
RNAcentral lists this transfer RNA (82 nucleotides) under Aspergillus parasiticus. Its description in RNAcentral is "tRNA-Asn". The record is from RNAcentral. Lineage: Eukaryota; Fungi; Ascomycota; Eurotiomycetes; Eurotiales; Aspergillaceae.